GAAUUCGCCCUUAGAGUUUGAUCCUGGCUCAGGAUGAACGCUGGCGGCGUGCUUAACACAUGCAAGUCGAACGAAGCAUAUAAAAUGGAGUUUUCGGACAAAGUUUUAUAUGACUUAGUGGCGGACGGGUGAGUAACGCGUGAGUAACCUGCCUUACACAGGGGGAUAACAGUCAGAAAUGACUGCUAAUACCGCAUAAGCGCACAGGGCCGCAUGGUCUGGUGUGAAAAGUAAUUCGGUGUAAGAUGGACUCGCGUCUGAUUAGCUAGUUGGUGAGGUAACUGCUCACCAAGGCGACGAUCAGUAGCCGACUUGAGAGAGUGAUCGGCCACAUUGGGACUGAGACACGGCCCAAACUCCUACGGGAGGCAGCAGUGGGGAAUAUUGCACAAUGGGGGAAACCCUGAUGCAGCGACGCCGCGUGAGCGAUGAAGUAUUUCGGUAUGUAAAGCUCUAUCAGCAAGGAAGAUAAUGACGGUACUUGACUAAUAAGCCCCGGCUAACUACGUGCCAGCAGCCGCGGUAAUACGUAGGGGGCAAGCGUUAUUCGGGAUUUCUGGGUGUAAAGGGGACGUAAACGGGCAGGCCAGUCUGAAGUGAAAACCCGGGGCUCAACCCCGGAAUGCAUUGGAAACUGCUCAACUAAAGUGGCAGAAAGGGAAUGGGAAUUCCUAGGGUAGCGGGAAAAUGCGUAAAUUUUUAGAGGAAACCCAGGGGGCAAAGGGGGCUUUAUUGAAUUGUAAAUGA
Molecule: ribosomal RNA, 747 nt
Filed under: uncultured bacterium
Lineage: Bacteria
Description: bacterial SSU rRNA
Rfam family: Bacterial small subunit ribosomal RNA
Source: RNAcentral